GUAAUGUAGUGUGUGUGUAUAUAAUGCAGAGUGUGUAGUAUGUGCAUUAUAUACACACACACACUACAUUACAUUAUAUACACACACACUACAUUA
This 96-nucleotide microRNA precursor is filed under the name Pelobates cultripes (western spadefoot toad). Lineage: Eukaryota; Metazoa; Chordata; Amphibia; Anura; Pelobatidae. The record is from RNAcentral.